CGCCCGUCGCUCCUACCGAUUGGGUGUGCUGGUGAAGUGUUCGGGUUGGCGACCGGGGGCGGUCUCCGCUCUCGGCCGCCGAGAAGUUCAUUAAACCCUCCCACCUAGAGGAAGGAGAAGUCGUAACAAGGUUUCC
RNAcentral lists this ribosomal RNA (136 nucleotides) under uncultured Trebouxiophyceae. Its description in RNAcentral is "partial small subunit ribosomal RNA". It matches the Rfam family "Eukaryotic small subunit ribosomal RNA", at positions 1670 to 1804 of the family's 1831-position model. Lineage: Eukaryota; Viridiplantae; Chlorophyta; Trebouxiophyceae. The record is from RNAcentral.